UUGCCUUGGCAGGUCGUGGUGUGUAGCGUGAUCGCUAUAAGGGAUCACCGCCUCGCACCACGCUGAAAGACCUGUCAAAGGACCCCUAAACUCUGUCUUAUAACUGUAUCUCUGAGUCUAUUAUAUAAACAAGUUAAAACUUUCAACAACGGAUCUCUUGGCUCUGGCAUCGAUGAAGAACGCAGCGAAAUGCGAUAAGUAAUGUGAAUUGCAGAAUUCAGUGAAUCAUCGAAUCUUUGAACGCACAUUGCGCCUGAUAGUAUUCUGUCAGGCAUGCCUGUUCGAGCGUCAUUUCAACCCCCAAGCCCUAAUCUGCUUGACGUUGGGAGUUUACGGAGACGUAAUUCCUCAAAUAUAGUGGCGGAGCUAGGUCGUGCUCUAAGCGUAGUAACCACACUCUCGCUUCUGCAGCCGGCCUAGGUCUUGCCGUAAAACCCCUAUAUUUAUUUUUUUACUGGUUGACCUCGGAUCAGGUAGGAAUACCCGCUG
This 489-nucleotide ribosomal RNA is filed under the name Biscogniauxia mediterranea. RNAcentral's name for it is "eukaryotic LSU rRNA". The stretch from base 138 to 291 matches the Rfam family "5.8S ribosomal RNA". Lineage: Eukaryota; Fungi; Ascomycota; Sordariomycetes; Xylariales; Xylariaceae. The record is from RNAcentral.